UGCAACUCCACCCUUAAUCUCUACUACAGCUCCACCCAUCAACUCCACUACAGCUCCACCCGUCAUCUCCACUACAACUCCACUCAUCAACUCUACUACAGCUCCGACCUUCGACUCCACUACAGCUCCACCCUUCAUCUCCACUACAACUCCACCCUUAAUCUCCACUACAGCUCCACCGAUCAGCUCCACUACACCUUCACCCAUCCCCACACCUUUACCCAUCACCUCCACUAAAGCUCCACCCAAAGAUGUUCUGACGAUCCUCACUAAUCUGGAGGUGGAGGUUUUGGCCGAGGAGUCGUCCACUGAAGAAGAGCGUCGAGCUGCACUGCUUCAGGUUGCUGCUUUGGUGGAGAGUUUGCUAAGAGCGAAUGAUACCGACAUCUACUCUUUUGAUGUCACGAGGAUUAAGCCUUUAUCUCCAUGUGACUGAAAUCAGCUGAGAGGAACUGACAUGAAUAAAUCCUCAUUGAUGCAGAACUUUUACUAUUUUAAUAUGAGAUCUGAUCAUGAUGUGACAGUUCAACAAAAACAUUGCAUUUGUGUUGCAUCUGCAUAGGAUCAUUAAUGAUCGUUGAUGCCUUAGAGUCCCUUUUAGUCUUUUGACAUUUGCAUAUACAUUACACGACAUUUCUUUAUUUAGAACAUAAUUAAGCUGUUAUAAAAUGUAUAUGAUCUAUGCAUGUGUUGUAUGUAUGUUCUUAUGCCCAGUUAAAAAUCUCUCUUGGUAUUAGUUCCGCUCUA
This is a long non-coding RNA of Carassius gibelio (silver crucian carp), 747 nucleotides long. RefSeq lists it as uncharacterized. The record is from RefSeq and is a predicted model, not a curated record. Lineage: Eukaryota; Metazoa; Chordata; Actinopteri; Cypriniformes; Cyprinidae. The transcript has 3 exons.